Molecule: ribosomal RNA, 730 nt
Filed under: uncultured bacterium
Lineage: Bacteria
Description: bacterial SSU rRNA
Rfam family: Bacterial small subunit ribosomal RNA
Source: RNAcentral
CAUGCAAGUCGAACGGGAGCACAGGAUAGCUUGCUCUGUGGGUGGCGAGUGGCGGACGGGUGAGCAAUACGUCCGAAUCUACCUUGUGGAGGGGGAUAACGUAGGGAAAGUUACCCUAAUACCGCAUACGAACUACGGAUGAAAGCAGGGGACCUUCGGUUCUUGCGUGAUUGGAUGAGCCGAUGUCGGAUUAGCUAGUUGGAGGGGUAAUGGCCCACCAAGGCGACGAUCCGUAGCUGGUCUGAGAGGAUGAUCACCCACACUGGAACUGAGACACGGUCCAGACUCCUGCGGGAGGCAGCAGUGGGGAAUAUUGGACAAUGGGCGCAAGCCUGAUCCAGCCUUGCCGCGUGGGUGAAGAAGGCCUUCGGGUUGUAUAGUUCUUUUAUCGGGAAAGAAAAGCAGCAGACCAAUACCCGGUUGUACUGACGGUACCCAAAGAAUAAGCACCGGCUAACUUCGUGCCAGCAGCCGCGGUAAUACGAAGGGUGCAAGCGUUACUCGGAAUUACUGGGCGUAAAGCGUGCGUAUGUGGUGGUUUAAGACGGAUGUGAAAACCCUGGGCUCAACCUGGGAACUGCAGUGGAUACUGGAUCACUAGAGUGAGGCAGAGGGUAGUGGAAUUCCCGGUGUAGCAGUGAAAUGCGUAUAGAUCGGGAGGAACAUCAGUGGCGAACGCCACUGCCUGGGCCAACACUGACACUCAGGACGAAUGCGUGGCGAGCAAACA